Molecule: long non-coding RNA, 965 nt
Filed under: Anser brachyrhynchus (Pink-footed goose)
Lineage: Eukaryota; Metazoa; Chordata; Aves; Anseriformes; Anatidae
Description: lncRNA (ENSABRG00000014956.1)
Source: RNAcentral
GUGGAGCUGCUGUCACUAAUCUGAGGUUCUUGGUGUUUUGUUUUGUAUUGUUUUGGGGUUUGGGGUGGUGUUUUUUUUUUGUUUUGUUUGUUUGUUUUUUUUUUUUUUAAAGUACUUUUCCCCUAAGAUGCAAGCACAGCUCUAUGGGUUGUUUUCUACUCUGCAUCACAAACACCAGCCACAGCUGGUCAAUGAAUCAUGGAUUAGGGUGACCUUAGUUGCCUUCAGCUCUUGUGAGCCGGAAAGAAGCUGCAUGAUACAGGACUUGCUGAGGCAGGUGCAAAACUGUGGGUAUCUCAUGAGCAAAGCCCAAAAUGGCCCAGUAUCUUUGCAAAAGAUGAUGAUGUAAAGCUAACAACAGAGAUUGAAAUCAUGAUUUGGAGGCAGAGGCACUUGCAUUUUGAGUUCUUUUGCUCAUCCACAUCAUGUGUCUGUGAUCAACUGAUCAAGUUGGAGUUAAAUAUCUGCAGGAUUUUGUGAUUUUUAUUGCUGUUUUUUGUUUGUUUGUUUUUUUGACACGGCUGAGUCAAGCUGUUUAUGGUGAACCCCAGAGUGCACAGAGUAAUGGAAGGAACCUCAAAAAUGUUCAGACUUCCUUAACCAGGAAAAACACUGCUAUGGCCUACCAGCUGAUUUUCCUAUCUAAAAGAUGUUGGCAGAGUGUGUCCCUGACUCAUCCUCCUCAGCUUCACCCCAGCAUGUCCACGUCCUUGCUCUUCAAGUAUCACACUGUGCAGGGUGAGAGGAUUUCUUCCACUUCAGUUUUCCUCUGGAUUGCCCAGUUUCUCCAUGUGGCUCUGAGAUUCUUUCCCAAUCUUCCAAAGGUCCCUACACAGGACAGUAAGACAGUACCUUAGAGCUGCCCUCUGUAUUUAAACAUUGCUGAUUGUGUGCCAAGGACCUUGGGCAAGAUGCUGUAAGCUGAAACAAGAAAGAGCUCAGUAAUAAAUAUGUUUUAAAACCUG